Long non-coding RNA from Pezoporus flaviventris, 760 nucleotides. RefSeq lists it as uncharacterized. The transcript is spliced from 3 exons. The record is from RefSeq and is a predicted model, not a curated record. NCBI's taxonomy places the organism in Eukaryota, Metazoa, Chordata, Aves, Psittaciformes, Psittacidae.
GUCUGUUUGCAAUACUAGUUUGUAGGGCAUUCAAAGAGACAGAAAUGCCUUAAUAGUAAUCUUCAUUCUACACUUGUUUCUUUAAGGGCUUGCUUGCCAGUAUGAAAGCAGACUCUUUCCAUACAGCCUUUUGUGGGCUGUCUAUCAGGAGGGGAUGGUUCAGUCCUGUGGUACAGCAUCUCUGCAUGCAGUAGUCCUGAAAUAUGGAAAUUUGCUUCUCAGCCUGGGAAGGGACUGCCACAUCACUUCUUGAGAUUUUCCACAGCUUCAGUUACCUUCUGUCAUGGGUAUCAGAAGUGUAAGAAAUCUGGAAAACCCCAGACUGCUACCGUUAACUGUUAGUGAUUGGGGUUUACCCUGCCUAACACUGAAUGCAACCCAAGUGAGUGAUGUUGGCAUUCACCUUGGUGACCCAGAGAAAUAGAAAACCAAAAUCUCAACAGAAUGCUCUUGCUUCUGGCCUGGUUUAUUGGAAGGGUAAGUACUGAAAAAAAAAAAAUAGAAAUCAUUCUCUCUGUCUUGCCUAGGACUCCUGAAAACAGUGGAGCUGCUUGAGAUUUCCUGCUUUGCAGGGCACCUUUCAAUCUUUUACUUGACUGGAGUGUUCUGAUCCCUAGGAGAUAUUUUGAGUUCCUAAGUUUUGCAGAGACUGAGAGCAUGUAACCUGUUUUAUAGGAGCUAUUGCUAUUUACUCUUCAUCACUUCUGUGACUGACAAGUAUGGAAUCACCUGCCCAUGAGAUGUAAAAACCUCAUCCUAA